This 48-nucleotide non-coding RNA is filed under the name Schistosoma curassoni. Lineage: Eukaryota; Metazoa; Platyhelminthes; Trematoda; Strigeidida; Schistosomatidae. The record is from RNAcentral.
AUCCAACUGGGGAGUUCCGAAUAGGACGAAACACGCGUCAAACUGGAU